Molecule: ribosomal RNA, 492 nt
Filed under: uncultured bacterium
Lineage: Bacteria
Description: partial 16S ribosomal RNA
Rfam family: Bacterial small subunit ribosomal RNA
Source: RNAcentral
AGUGAACGCUGGCGGUAGGCCUAACACAUGCAAGUCGAACGGCAGCACAGUAAGAGCUUGCUCUUACGGGUGGCGAGUGGCGGACGGGUGAGGAAUACAUCGGAAUCUACUUUUUCGUGGGGGAUAACGUAGGGAAACUUACGCUAAUACCGCAUACGACCUACGGGUGAAAGCAGGGGAUCUUCGGACCUUGCGCGAUUGAAUGAGCCGAUGUCGGAUUAGCUAGUUGGCGGGGUAAAGGCCCACCAAGGCGCCGAUCGGUAGCUGGUCUGAGAGGAGGAUCAGCCACACGGGAACUGAGACACGGUCCAGACUCCUACGGGAGGCAGCAGUGGGGAAUAGUGGACAAUGGGCGCAAGCCUGAUCCAGCCAGACCGCGUGGGUGAAGAAGGCCUUCGGGUUGGAAAGCCCGUUUGUUGGGAAAGAAAAGCAGCAGGUUAAUACCCCGCGGGUCUGACGGUACCCAAAGAAUAAGCACCGGCUAACUUCGUG